RNAcentral lists this ribosomal RNA (314 nucleotides) under uncultured eukaryote. RNAcentral describes it as "partial 18S ribosomal RNA". It matches the Rfam family "Eukaryotic small subunit ribosomal RNA", at positions 1470 to 1796 of the family's 1831-position model. The record is from RNAcentral.
CCCUUAGAUGUUCUGGGCUGCACGCGCGCUACACUGAACAGUUCAACAAGUCUUAACCUUGGCCGAUAGGUCUGGGUAAUCUUUGAACGCUGUUCGUGAUUGGGAUAGACCUUUGCAAUUAUGGGUCUUCAACGAGGAAUUCCUAGUAAACGCAAGUCAUCAGCUUGCAUUGAUUACGUCCCUGCCCUUUGUACACACCGCCCGUCGCACCUACCGAUUGAAUGGUCCGGUGAAGCCUCCGGAUUGGCGCGCACCUCGGUGCCGCCGAGAAGUUGGCUAAACCUUACCAUUUAGAGGAAGGUGAAGUCGUAACA